This 1015-nucleotide long non-coding RNA is filed under the name Bos indicus x Bos taurus (hybrid cattle). RNAcentral's name for it is "lncRNA (ENSBIXG00005001452.1)". Lineage: Eukaryota; Metazoa; Chordata; Mammalia; Artiodactyla; Bovidae. The record is from RNAcentral.
CUUCUCUCUAAUCCCUGGAUGAGGCAAGAGUGCUAGAUUGAAGAGAGACUCAAAUUGGCUAACCAUGGACUUGGACAAGUAAUCUGACUCUAUGAGCCUCAGUUUCCUUUUCUGGAAAACCCAGGGAGUGGUGACUGUAAAGAUUACUCAAGCAGCUGAAUCACAGUGAUAGUGGUUCUAACUUCAGUGUCUGAUUUUUCUCAACUCCACUUCCUGGGUGUCUGCGUUUCCUGGUUCUCCUACUCUUAAUUCUGGUCUGCAUUAUUUCUAUCCCUUUUGUUCCUUUUUAACACACCAGUUAUGGAGUCACAGUAAAAAGGGGAAUUUUCCAGUCUUCACUCAAGCCAGAGUCCUCCCACUCAGUAUCGUGUAUACAUUGCCCCAAAUCACUCAGCCUGAGGACUCUGACUUCCGGGAUCACAAGAGAACAGUAGAGGGGUGGGGCUCUCAGCACGUGACCCUCACCCUGCAGCAUGGGGUUAAAUAUCCUCAUUUUCUCAGUAAACACGCAGAGGAUCUUGGUUACAGUAUGUUCCUUUUAGACAGUAUGGACUGCAACUUUAGAAUCAGAUCUCUGCUCCUUGGUUUUACCCAGAAGGAGGAAAAGGCCAUACAAAGAGAUCUUUUGUUUAUUUUAUGUACCAGAGGAUUGUCUUGCAGGUUUUUCCACUCUGCUGUCCCUGUAUUAUUUCUUUCCAGGUUUCAUAAAAAAAUAAUGGCUGUCAUAAAACAGCCACCAUGUGCUGACAACUUGCUUGGCAACAAGCCUAGUUCUAGACGCUGGAUCUACGUUACCCCACGUAACCCUCUCAGUGAAUGCAGCUGUUUGGCACCGAUACCCUCCAUCUACACUUGAGGAAACUGAGGCUUCGAGAAGCCAUAUGACCUUAUUCUCGGGACCCUCUCUACCAGACAGUCACCAGUCAGCCCCUGGAGUGGGCUUGGUUUGUUCUCCCCAAGGUCCUCUCAGCUUCCCCACCUCCAGGGGUGGAGGAAUGUCUGCUGCCUUUCUGAC